Molecule: ribosomal RNA, 402 nt
Filed under: Streptococcus uberis
Lineage: Bacteria; Bacillati; Bacillota; Bacilli; Lactobacillales; Streptococcaceae
Description: bacterial SSU rRNA
Rfam family: Bacterial small subunit ribosomal RNA
Source: RNAcentral
GGCUCAGGACGAACGCUGGCGGCGUGCCUAAUACAUGCAAGUAGAACGCUGAGGACUGGUGCUUGCACUGGUCUAAGGAGUUGCGAACGGGUGAGUAACGCGUAGGUAACCUACCUCAUAGCGGGGGAUAACUAUUGGAAACGAUAGCUAAUACCGCAUGACAAUAGGGUACACAUGUACCCUAUUUAAAAGGGGCAAAUGCUUCACUAUGAGAUGGACCUGCGUUGUAUUAGCUAGUUGGUAAGGUAACGGCUUACCAAGGCGACGAUACAUAGCCGACCUGAGAGGGUGAUCGGCCACACUGGGACUGAGACACGGCCCAGACUCCUACGGGAGGCAGCAGUAGGGAAUCUUCGGCAAUGGGGGGAACCCUGACCGAGCAACGCCGCGUGAGUGAAGAAG